This is a long non-coding RNA of Oncorhynchus keta (chum salmon), 483 nucleotides long. RefSeq lists it as uncharacterized. The record is from RefSeq and is a predicted model, not a curated record. NCBI's taxonomy places the organism in Eukaryota, Metazoa, Chordata, Actinopteri, Salmoniformes, Salmonidae. The transcript is spliced from 6 exons.
AGGGACUGAGGGUGUAGUUGAUGACAGUUUACCUGAAGGAAGGAAGGAAGGAAGGAAGGAAGGAAGGAAGGAAGGAAGGAAGGAAGGAAGGAAGGAUGGUUUGAAGGGACUGAGGGUGUAGUUGAUGACAGUUUACCUGAAGGAAGGAAGGAAGGAAGGAAGGAAGGAAGGAAGGAAGGAAGGAAGGAAGGAAGGAUGGUUUGAAGGGACUGAUGGUGUAGUUGAUGACAGUUUACCUGAAGGAAGGAAGGAAGGAAGGAAGGAAGGAAGGAAGGAAGGAAGGAUGGUUUGAAGGGACUGACGGUGUAGUUGAUGACAGUUUAGCUGAAGGAAGGAAGGAAGGAAGGAAGGAAGGAAGGAAGGAUGGUUUGAAGGGACUGAGGGUGUAGUUGAUGACAGUUUACCUGAAGGAAGGAAGGAAGGAAGGAAGGAAGGAAGGAUGGUUUGAAGGGACUGAGGGUGUAGUUGAUGACAGAGUGCUGU